Molecule: ribosomal RNA, 253 nt
Filed under: uncultured bacterium
Lineage: Bacteria
Description: partial 16S ribosomal RNA
Rfam family: Bacterial small subunit ribosomal RNA
Source: RNAcentral
UACAGAGGGGGCAAGCGUUGUUCGGAAUUAUUGGGCGUAAAGGGCGUGUAGGCGGCCUGGUAAGUCAGACGUGAAAUCCCCCGGCUUAACCUGGGAACUGCGUCUGAUACUGGGAGGCUUGAGUAUGGGAGAGGGAUGUAGAAUUCCAGGUGUAGCGGUGAAAUGCGUAGAUAUUGGGAGGAACACCAGUGGCGAAGGCGGCUCACUGGACCGGAACUGACGCUGAGGCGCGAAAGCGUGGGGAGCAAACAGG